RNAcentral lists this ribosomal RNA (253 nucleotides) under uncultured bacterium. RNAcentral's name for it is "partial 16S ribosomal RNA". It matches the Rfam family "Bacterial small subunit ribosomal RNA", at positions 524 to 776 of the family's 1533-position model. The record is from RNAcentral.
UACGUAGGGGGCAAGCGUUAUCCGGAUUUACUGGGUGUAAAGGGAGCGUAGACGGCCAGACAAGUCUGAAGUGAAAAUCCAGCGCUUAACGUUGGAAGUGCUUUGGAAACUGCCGGGCUAGAGUGCAGGAGGGGCAGGCGGAAUUCCUAGUGUAGCGGUGAAAUGCGUAGAUAUUAGGAGGAACACCAGUGGCGAAGGCGGCUCUCUGGUCUGCAACUGACGCUGAGGCUCGAAAGCAUGGGUAGCGAACAGG